GACUGUUAGCACGCCCCCUGACAAGGAUGGAAGAGGUCCUAUUGGCCUUCAACACACAUAUGGUUAAGGUUUUGCCACCUACUUAAUGCUAUCUCUAACCACAUUUUUUA
Molecule: small nuclear RNA, 110 nt
Organism: Acipenser ruthenus (sterlet)
Lineage: Eukaryota; Metazoa; Chordata; Actinopteri; Acipenseriformes; Acipenseridae
Source: RefSeq, a predicted model, not a curated record